RNAcentral lists this ribosomal RNA (408 nucleotides) under uncultured bacterium. Its description in RNAcentral is "partial 16S ribosomal RNA". It matches the Rfam family "Bacterial small subunit ribosomal RNA", at positions 28 to 526 of the family's 1533-position model. The record is from RNAcentral.
GACGAACGCUGGCGGCGUGCUUAACACAUGCAAGUCGAACGACGUGGCGAACGGGUGAGUAACGCGUAAUCCACCUGCCCUUCAGAGGGGGACAACAGUUGGAAACGACUGCUAAUACAUCAUACGGAAGGAGGGGAUUGCGUCAGAUUAGCUAGUUGGCGGGGUAACGGCCCACCAAGGCCAUGAUGAGUAGCCGGUCUGAGAGGAUGAACGGCCACAUGGGGACUGAUACACGGCCCAGACUCCUACGGGAGGCAGCAGUGGGGAAUCUUCCGCAAUGGGCGAAAGUCUGACGGAGCAACGCCGCGGGGGUGAUGACGGCCUUCGGGUUGUAAAGCUCUGUUAAUCGGGACGCGGUACCGGAAGAGAAAGCCACGGCUAACUACGUGCCAGCAGCCGCGGUAAUAC